AACGAACGCUGGCGGCAUGCCUAACACAUGCAAGUCGAACGAGACCUUCGGGUCUAGUGGCGCACGGGUGCGUAACGCGUGGGAACCUGCCCUUAGGUUCGGAAUAACUCACCGAAAGAGGUGCUAAUACCGGAGAAUGUCUUCGGACCAAAGAUUUAUUGCCCUUGGAUGGGCCCGCGUUGGAUUAGCUGGUUGGUAGGGUAAAAGCCUAUCAAGGCCACGAUCCAUAGAUGGUCUGGGAGGAUGAUCAGGCACACUUGGACUGGGAAACGGCCCAGACUCCUACGGGAGGCAGGAAGGGGGGAUAUUGGACCAUGGGCCAAAGGCUGAUCCAGCCAUGCCGCGGGAGUUAUGAAGGGCUUAGGGUUUGAAAGCCCUUUUUCCCGGGAAGAUAAUGACAGUACCGGGAGAAUAAGCCCCGGCUAACUCCGUG
This 433-nucleotide ribosomal RNA is filed under the name uncultured bacterium. RNAcentral's name for it is "partial 16S ribosomal RNA". It matches the Rfam family "Bacterial small subunit ribosomal RNA", at positions 29 to 507 of the family's 1533-position model. The record is from RNAcentral.